Molecule: ribosomal RNA, 420 nt
Filed under: Fusobacteriota bacterium
Lineage: Bacteria; Fusobacteriati; Fusobacteriota
Description: Fusobacteria bacterium partial 16S ribosomal RNA
Rfam family: Bacterial small subunit ribosomal RNA
Source: RNAcentral
UGGGGGAUAUUGCACAAUGGGCGAAAGCCUGAUGCAGCGACGCCGCGUGGGGGAUGAAGGCCUUCGGGUUGUAAACUUCUUUUGCUCUGAACAAGGCAUGCCUUUGGGGUGUGUUGAGUGUAGGGGUUGAUUAGCGCCGGCUAACUACGUGCCAGCAGCCGCGGUAAUACGUAGGGCGCGAGCGUUGUCCGGAAUUAUUGGGCGUAAAGGGCUUGUAGGUGGCUGGUUGCGUCUGUCGUGAAAGCUCAUGGCUUAACUGUGGGUUUGCGGUGGGUACGGGCUGGCUUGAGUGCAGUAGGGGAGGCUGGAAUUCCUGGUGUAGCGGUGGAAUGCGCAGAUAUCAGCAGGAAUACCGGUGGCGAAGGCGGGUCUCUGGGCUGUUACUGACGCUGAGGAGCGAAAGCGUGGGGAGCGAACAGG